GACGAACGCUGGCGGCGUGCUUAACACAUGCAAGUCGAACGGAAAGGCCCUGCUUUUGUGGGGUGCUCGAGUGGCGAACGGGUGAGUAACACGUGAGUAACCUGCCCUUGACUUUGGGAUAACUUCAGGAAACUGGGGCUAAUACCGGAUAGGAGCUCCUGCUGCAUGGUGGGGGUUGGAACGUUUCGGCGGUUGGGGAUGGAUUCGCGGCUUAUCAGCUUGUUGGUGGGGUAGUGGCUUACCAAGGCUUUGACGGGUAGCCGGCCUGAGAGGGUGACCGGCCACCUUGGGACUGAGAUACGGCCCAGACUCCUACGGGAGGCAGCAGUGGGGAAUAUUGCACAAUGGGCGGGAGCCUGAUGCAGCAACGCCGCGUGCGGGAUGACGGCCUUCGGGUUGUAAACCGCUUUCGCCUGUGACGAAGCGUGAGUGACGGUAAUGGGUAAAGAAGCACCGGCUAACUACGUG
RNAcentral lists this ribosomal RNA (468 nucleotides) under uncultured bacterium. RNAcentral's name for it is "partial 16S ribosomal RNA". It matches the Rfam family "Bacterial small subunit ribosomal RNA", at positions 28 to 507 of the family's 1533-position model. The record is from RNAcentral.